This 90-nucleotide transfer RNA is filed under the name Rhodoferax sp. Its description in RNAcentral is "tRNA-Leu". It matches the Rfam family "tRNA". From Rfam's summary of the family: Transfer RNA (tRNA) molecules are approximately 80 nucleotides in length. Their secondary structure includes four short double-helical elements and three loops (D, anti-codon, and T loops). Further hydrogen bonds mediate the characteristic L-shaped molecular structure. tRNAs have two regions of fundamental functional importance: the anti-codon, which is responsible for specific mRNA codon recognition, and the 3' end, to which the tRNAs corresponding amino acid is attached (by aminoacyl-tRNA synthetases). tRNAs cope with the degeneracy of the genetic code in two manners: having more than one tRNA (with a specific anti-codon) for a particular amino acid; and 'wobble' base-pairing, i.e. permitting non-standard base-pairing at the 3rd anti-codon position. The record is from RNAcentral. Lineage: Bacteria; Pseudomonadati; Pseudomonadota; Betaproteobacteria; Burkholderiales; Comamonadaceae. RNAcentral also lists the same sequence under 1 other name.
GCCCGGAUGGCGGAACAGGCAGACGCAGCGGACUUAAAAUCCGCCGCCCCGUCUCGGGGCGUACCGGUUCGACCCCGGUUCCGGGCACCA